RNAcentral lists this ribosomal RNA (1164 nucleotides) under Burkholderia multivorans. Its description in RNAcentral is "partial 23S ribosomal RNA". It matches the Rfam family "Bacterial large subunit ribosomal RNA", at positions 590 to 1765 of the family's 2925-position model. The record is from RNAcentral. Lineage: Bacteria; Pseudomonadati; Pseudomonadota; Betaproteobacteria; Burkholderiales; Burkholderiaceae.
GGGGUGACGGCGUACCUUUUGUAUAAUGGGUCAGCGACUUACGUUCAGUAGCAAGCUUAACCGUAUAGGGCAGGCGUAGCGAAAGCGAGUCCGAAUAGGGCGUUCAGUUGCUGGGCGUAGACCCGAAACCAGGUGAUCUAUCCAUGGCCAGGAUGAAGGUGCGGUAACACGUACUGGAGGUCCGAACCCACUAACGUUGAAAAGUUAGGGGAUGAGCUGUGGAUAGGGGUGAAAGGCUAAACAAACCUGGAAAUAGCUGGUUCUCUCCGAAAACUAUUUAGGUAGUGCCUCGUGUCUCACCUUCGGGGGUAGAGCACUGUCAUGGUUGGGGGGUCUAUUGCAGAUUACCCCGCCAUAGCAAACUCCGAAUACCGAAGAGUGCAAUCACGGGAGACAGACAUCGGGUGCUAACGUCCGGUGUCAAGAGGGAAACAACCCAGACCGCCAGCUAAGGUCCCCAAAUAUGGCUAAGUGGGAAACGAAGUGGGAAGGCUAAAACAGUCAGGAGGUUGGCUUAGAAGCAGCCACCCUUUAAAGAAAGCGUAAUAGCUCACUGAUCGAGUCGUCCUGCGCGGAAGAUGUAACGGGGCUAAGCCAUAUACCGAAGCUGCGGAUGCGUGCUUGCACGCAUGGUAGGAGAGCGUUCCGUAAGCCUGCGAAGGUGCCUUGUAAAGGGUGCUGGAGGUAUCGGAAGUGCGAAUGCUGACAUGAGUAGCGAUAAAGGGGGUGAAAGGCCCCCUCGCCGUAAGCCCAAGGUUUCCUACGCAACGUUCAUCGGCGUAGGGUGAGUCGGCCCCUAAGGCGAGGCAGAAAUGCGUAGCUGAUGGGAAGCAGGUCAAUAUUCCUGCACCGUCGUUAGAUGCGAUGGGGGGACGGAUCGCGGAAGGUUGUCCGGGUGUUGGACGUCCCGGUCGCUGCAUUGGAGAAGGCGCUUAGGCAAAUCCGGGCGCAGGAUUCAAGGGUGUGGCGCGAGCGACUUCGGUCGCGAAGCAAUUGGAAGUGGUUCCAAGAAAAGCCUCUAAGCUUCAGUCUAACGAUGACCGUACCGCAAACCGACACAGGUGGGCGAGAUGAGUAUUCUAAGGCGCUUGAGAGAACUCGGGAGAAGGAACUCGGCAAAUUGGUACCGUAACUUCGGGAUAAGGUACGCCCUUGUAGCUUGAC